CGUAAACACACCCAGCCUGGCGGACACGUGCUGGGUCCCUCCCUCCUCUAGUGCGGCCAUAUACCUCCCAACCCUACACACCUCCACCAACUGGAAACUCCAACCCCACACCACCAUCCUAGGGGCAGAGCUCUUUGCCAUCAGGGAAGGCCCCACAGCAGCGACAACGCUUCCCCCACACCAAUCAGUCUCCCUCUUUACUGACUCCCUCACUUCCCUCCAACUCCUCUCAACUCACAGACCUCACACACACCACACACUAUGCUUUGCCAUCCACUCCCUCUUGGCACAGCUGACCUCCGGGGGCAGACGGGUCCACCUUCAGUGGGUCCCUUCCCACAUAGGCAUCGUGGGCAACACAGUGGUGGACCAAGCUGCCAACCUGGCACCCCCCCCCCCCCAGCCAAUUCACAGCCCUCCGGACCACAGUGACCUCAAGACCCACCUCCGACAGUCCUCCAACAGCCACUGGACCACCAGACUAACGAUAGACCUCAGACAGCUCACCCUCGGCCACUACAGAUACUCCCCCGCCCGGCACUGGCGCCCCUUCUCCCCCAGUCGCCCACUGGACACAGCCAUCACCCGUCUAAGGAUUGGACACACCCGCCUCAACGCCCACCUGCACAGACUGAACAUAGUCCGAGACCCACGCUGCCCAUGGUGCCCCACACAACCUGACACACCAGAACACCUCCUCCUCCACUGCCCAAGAUUCCACUCCCUCCGCACCACCCUCAAAGCAUCUUUAACCAGUCUCCAUAUUCACAGGCCAACCCUAGAGGACCUACUGGGCAGCGACACCCUCAGCCCCAACACUGCCUUCCACGCCCUCAAGUGCACGCAAACCUUCCUGCAGAAGUCGGGGCAACUCGACAGGAUCUAACUCCCGCCCUGGUGACAGGACGGCCAACACAAUCAACGACUCCUGAUAACAACUACCACUGACGGGGCUCUUGAGGCUGUGGGCCCACAGCCUAACUAGCCCCAUAAAACACCCACGAAGAAGAAGAAGAAGUCAUCGUGGGCAACACCAUGGUGGACAACCUGGCACACCAAUACACAGACCACACUGACCUCCUCCGACAGUCCUCCAACAGACACUGGACUAACGGCUGACCUCAGACAGCUCACGGUACAGACACUCCCCCGCCCAGUACCACUCCCACGAGAGGCCACUCCUUUAAGCUUUUUGUUCCUCGUUACAAUACUGAUGUUCGAGCUCGUUUCUUCUCUGUGCGAGUCAUUAGCAUUUGGAAUAAUUUACCAGAAUCAGUUGUUGUGGUGAAUUCUGUUAAUGCUUUCAAACGGCAUCUCCACACUUCUCUCGGUCAAAUUUUGUAUGAUUUUGAUUGACUUUGGGUUGUUGAGUAUCUCUUUAACUUGUAAACUUGUGUCCUGUGCUGUACUGCGUCUCCACUCGGGAUUGCCAACCUGACUAUAUUGUCUUGGAACUUACUCAAGAGUAUUAUGGCAGUUGUUUGUGUGGUCUUGGUGAUGCCACAUUAGCCAACCAUCAGAACAUCUAAAGGACAAUCUACUUGCUGUCUUGGUUGGAGGCAUCACCUGAUUCUAGAUGGGGUUCUCCCCAUCUAGGUAAGAAAUCUAGGUAAGAAAUCCCCCAGCCGUCCCCUGGACACACCCGCCUCACCUGCACAGUCCACAUGGUGCCCCACACACACCAGAACACCUCCUCCUCCACUGCCCAAGAUUCCACUCACCAACCUCAAGUCAUCCCUAACCAGCAUCCGCAUUCACAGGCCAACCCUGGAGGACCUGCUGGGCAGCGACACCCUCAGCCCCAACACUCAAGCCUUCCAAGUGUACGCAAACCUUCCUGCAGAAGUCGGGGCGGCAACUCGACAGAAUCUAACCCCACUCUGGUGACAGAACGACAAACAAAAGCCUGAUACCAACUACCACUGAAGGGGCUGUGGAGGCUGUGGCCCCACAGCCCCAUAAAACACCCAAGAAGAAGAAGAAGGUGAUGCCCCGGAGGAUAUGGACCCCGCCAGCCACCCAGCACCCCUUCCCUCCCUCCUCCUACUGGUGACGGGAGAAGACAGGAGGAGGAGGAGGAGGGUUAGUGCCUGAUCCAGCAAGGUGAUUCACUGUCACCUGUUACUGUCCGUCCACCCUCAGGAAAGCCCUUUGAGAUCCAGGUGCCUCGAUCCAUGGCCAGCUUGAAGAGUUCUGCGUCCAGGCCGAGACGGUGAACCUGGUGACUGUCCAGGAGGCAGACAGGGAUGCAGUUUGGAGGCUGAUUUGGAGGAAGAAGAGGAGGAGGAAGAGAUAACAAGAGGAACAGAAGAAGGAGAAGUAAUCUCUCUCUCUCUCUCUCUCUCUCUCUCUCUCUCUCUCUCUCUCUCUCUCUCUCUCUCUCACACACACACACACACACACACACACACAGUAAAACACACAAUUUCUUCUUAAUUUCAAAAACUUUAUUAAUAUAUAUUUUGACAACGUCCAAUCAGGUUCCACAGACUGGCUCCUCCCCGAACCCUUCUGUGGGGGCAUAAUUUGAGCCAUAGAAGGCCGGGGGAAGAUCUAGCCUAUGGAACCUUAUACACAGACAUACAUAUAUACACACAUAGAGUACCUCCUCUCUCUCUUUCCUCCUCCUCCUCUUCCUCUUGAUGUGGCAGUGUCAGGAGAAGAGAUCACCUGGGAGAUUGAACAAGUCCUGGAGAUGUUGAAGAAGGAAUAUAUAUAUAUAUAUAUAUAUAUAUAUAUAUAUAUAUAUAUAUAUAUAUAUAUAUAUAUAUAUAUAUAUAUAUAUAUAUAUAUAUAUAUAUAUAUAUAUAUAUAUAUACCUCACCUCAGCCCACAGGAUGUCCCACCACAGUAUGUUGACAAUCCCCACAGACACAUAACCCCCAGCCACAUAACAGGACCCCUCUCUCUCUCUCGCUCUCUCUCUCUCGCUCUCUCUCUCUCUCUCUCUCAGGUCAUAAGGUCAACAGGAUGUUUAUAACCCCUACAGACACAUGCCCUCUUAGACAGCAACCCAACCCACACCAUAGAUAGCCACAUGACCUCCCCUGUGUGUGUGUGUGCUGUUCUAUUGAUAAAUAAAGAUGGAAUUGCAAUGUGUGUUAUUAUUAUUGUUAUUCCAAUGGGUUUGAAGAGAGAGAGAGAGAGAGAGAGAGAGAGAGAGAGAGAGAGAGAGAGAGAGAGAGAGAGAGAGAGAGAGAGAGAGAGAGAGAGAGAGUGAAGGAAAUAAA
Molecule: long non-coding RNA, 3230 nt
Organism: Eriocheir sinensis (Chinese mitten crab)
Lineage: Eukaryota; Metazoa; Arthropoda; Malacostraca; Decapoda; Varunidae
Exons: 4
Source: RefSeq, a predicted model, not a curated record